UUAAGAGACGGUAGUGAAACAA
This 22-nucleotide small RNA is filed under the name Arabidopsis thaliana (thale cress). RNAcentral's name for it is "ATSL111970". The record is from RNAcentral. Lineage: Eukaryota; Viridiplantae; Streptophyta; Magnoliopsida; Brassicales; Brassicaceae.